RNAcentral lists this unclassified non-coding RNA (213 nucleotides) under plant metagenome. RNAcentral's name for it is "partial contains small subunit ribosomal RNA, internal transcribed spacer 1, and 5.8S ribosomal RNA". The record is from RNAcentral.
UCUCCGUAGGUGAACCUGCGGAGGGAUCACUACAGGCUUGCAAAAGCUCUGAAACCACUGUUUAUCUACCUGAAUCUGCUUCGGCGGGCGGCCCCAGGGCGGGGCCGUAGCCGCAAGGCGCCCGCCGAAGACCCCUAAACCCUGUCGUCUUGAGAAUCUCUGAGUAUCAUAUUAAACAGAAAACAACUUUCAACAACGGAUCUCUUGGCUCUG